GACGAACGCUGGCGGCGUGCUUAACACAUGCAAGUCGAACGAUCACGCCCGAGCUUGCCCGGUCUGACUAGUGCCGCACGCGUGAGUGACACAUGAGCAUACUCCCCUUCACUCUCUGAUAACCCCUCGGAAUCGCGGCUAAUACCCCGUAUGAGCUCCUGACCCAUGGCGUGUGAUGGUAAAUUUGUCGGUGACGGAUGGGCUGGCAGCCUACCUGUCUGUUUGUGAGGUAGUGGGUCACCAAGGCGAUGCCGGGUAGCCGGACUGAGAGGGCGACCGGCCACACUGGGACUGAGGGACGGCCCAGACUCCUACGGGAGGCAGCAGUGGGGAAGAUUGCACAAGGGGCGAAAGCCGGAUGCAGCGACGCCGCGUGAGGGAUGACGGCCUUAGGGGUGUAAACCUCUUUCGGCAGGGAAGAAGCGCGAGUGACGGUACCUGAAGAAGAAGCGCCGGCUAACUACGUG
Molecule: ribosomal RNA, 467 nt
Filed under: uncultured bacterium
Lineage: Bacteria
Description: partial 16S ribosomal RNA
Rfam family: Bacterial small subunit ribosomal RNA
Source: RNAcentral